UGACCUCGGAUCAGGUAGGGAUACCCGCUGAACUUAAGCAUAUCAAUAAGCGGAGGAAAAGAAACCAACAGGGAUUGCCCUAGUAACGGCGAGUGAAGCGGCAAGAGCUCAAAUUUGAAAGCUGGCUCCUUCGGGGUCCGCAUUGUAAUUUGCAGAGGAUG
RNAcentral lists this ribosomal RNA (161 nucleotides) under Penicillium wollemiicola. RNAcentral's name for it is "partial 28S ribosomal RNA". It matches the Rfam family "Eukaryotic large subunit ribosomal RNA", at positions 1 to 161 of the family's 3401-position model. The record is from RNAcentral. Lineage: Eukaryota; Fungi; Ascomycota; Eurotiomycetes; Eurotiales; Aspergillaceae.